GGCUCUGUAGUGUAGUGGUUAUCACUCAAGAUUCUGAUUUGAUAGAAUAUUCUUGAAACCCAGGUUCGAAUCCUGGCAGGGCCU
RNAcentral lists this transfer RNA (84 nucleotides) under Leucoagaricus sp. SymC.cos. It matches the Rfam family "tRNA". Rfam says of the family: Transfer RNA (tRNA) molecules are approximately 80 nucleotides in length. Their secondary structure includes four short double-helical elements and three loops (D, anti-codon, and T loops). Lineage: Eukaryota; Fungi; Basidiomycota; Agaricomycetes; Agaricales; Agaricaceae. The record is from Rfam by way of RNAcentral.